AAAGCGAACAUGAGUCAAUGCGCAUGUGGCGCGCGGAAGUUGAGCGACACUGCCCG
RNAcentral lists this small RNA (56 nucleotides) under Sinorhizobium meliloti 2011. RNAcentral describes it as "putative ncRNA". The record is from RNAcentral. Lineage: Bacteria; Pseudomonadati; Pseudomonadota; Alphaproteobacteria; Hyphomicrobiales; Rhizobiaceae.